This 1425-nucleotide long non-coding RNA is filed under the name Elaeis guineensis (African oil palm). Its description in RNAcentral is "long non-coding RNA (EGUI_LNC021181)". Lineage: Eukaryota; Viridiplantae; Streptophyta; Magnoliopsida; Arecales; Arecaceae. The record is from RNAcentral.
GCCCUCAGAUCUCAUAGCUCUAUAAAUUCACCGCGGCUCAAAUAAUGGUAUUUCACUUUGAGCAUUUCAUGUGCAAACAGAAGGAUGUCGUAAAAGAAGAAGAAGAAGAAGAAGAGAAGAGAAAAGAUGGGUCAUGACAAAUAGUAAAAGCAGCAGCAGCAGCAGCAGCAGCAGAGGAGUUGGUGGUGCUGUGGUGGUAUAGCAAGGGCACAGUAAUGCUCAAAAGAAUAGCCAUACAGCCACUCCAUAAACAUGUUUCCAUCAUUGGGCAUCAUCAAAGUUCAAGACACAACAAGAAUCCAACCAAAUAAUCACCAGGAAAACAUCCAGAAAGGCAUUUCUACUUAUCAGUUUAACAUCUAACUCAUAAAAAAAGGGCAUUGUAAUGCUUUGCAAGUUUCAAUAAUGCAAAAAUCCAACGUCUCAAAGAAUCCGCACUUCUGAUUCAAGAACUGAAAUCGAGAUAUAGUGCCAAAAUGUUUAGACAGUGAGAAAGCGUCAAAUACGCGACAUGAACAGCCUUCCGUAUCCGAAAUCUCCAUAAGAAAUCCCAUCUUUUUCUUUUUCUAAAAAAAUGUCAACAAAUCCAAAAAAUUUUACCAAUUGCCCUUUAUUUUUUUAAGGCGGAGAAAACAAUUAAAAAAUCUAAAUAAUAAGUUUCACGAGAGGAGCCCUCAGAUCUCAUAGCUUUCAGCAUUCAUCGACGGCUUAAUGGCUGAUUUUUCAUAGUGAGCAUCUUUGACAUGCAUAGAAGAAGAAGAUGAUGANNNNNNNNNNNNNNNNNNNNCGACGACGGUGAUGGUAAUGAUGAUGAUGACGAUGAUGAUGGCGGCUGCAGUGGGAAUGGUGAUAAGAUUAAAGCACGCACAGAUGCUCAAAAUGAAAGACCAAGAAGCCGCUCCAAAAUCCACAAGGUUUCCAUCAUCGGGCAUUACAUAAACACGACUAACAUCUUUAGCAACAGAAAGAUAAAAUUAAAAUUUAACAAAAAGGUGAAUAGAGUACGCUGGUAUCCACUCCGACGAUCCACAGACUUCUUAUUCAAGGAAAAUCCCCAACAAUAAAUACGUCAAUAAAUCAAACAUAUUUUCUAUUGCAAUACAAAAGCGAUAUCUGGGGAAAAAACUAUGCGAGAACUAGAGAAUUUUUGUUAAAAAAAAAUAGAAAAAACAUUAGGACCAGAGAGAGGGCGAGGAAGGACUUUGGAACCCUAGCGGCAGCGAGACGCAACCAGGCCAGGGCAUUGGAAAACGAAGGGGUUCGCUUACAUAUAGGGGAUUGAUCUUCUAAUUGCCCACUAGAAUUUGCAUUAAUAUCGAAACUGCCAUCAUAGAUUAUUUCUGUUCCUCUAUUUGAUUUGUUGUUAUAUAUUAUCUGUUUCGUAUUUUCCAAAUUUUAAUGUUAAUAUGAAAAUAUAUUGAUUUC